CCCAGACCCUCUUUCCACUUUCUAGAAGCCAAAGGCCACAGUGGAGCCAUCAUGUUGGGCCCUGAAGAUCUGCUCCCUUCUCUCCUCCUCUCUAGUCCCUCUGCUUCUUUGUGGACAUUCUGAACCCUGCAGAAAAACCACUUUCACAACUCCUUGUAUAUCUGCAUCUCAGCCUUGCACCUCUACUCAGUAGCCACUCACACAGUCUUCUGGUAGGCCUCCCUGGCCCAGCGAAGGGCCAACCUCACCCCACUGGCCCAUAACCCCUGUGCUCUAACUCCUGUCACAGCCUGACAGCUUCCUGGACUCCUCCUGUGGCCCUCACAGGCAAGGCUGAGGGUUUUCAUGCCAGUGCCCCAGGCAGUGGGCCAUCUGCUCCUACAAUAGCCUUCUUCCUGGUCCAUUCAUUCCCUGGCUGUCUCCGCUGGAAGCCUUUCAAGGAUGAAGUAGACAGCUCUGCCUUAGGAAGAGGGGAUGGGAAAAGCUGCUGUUUCCAAGACACAGAUUCCUUCAGGCCACCCACACGCACUCUGGACACUGAUCCAGGGGAGACAGGAGCUCUGGCUGCCAGAGUCCCACAGAAGACCCUGCUUUGUAGACAUCCUUUGGCCAUCCUUGGGGAUUGAAAGCUGAUGCUUUAUAAGCAAACCCUGCUCUCCCACUCCACCAGCUCUUACCCUGGGCAUAUCCUUUACUUCUUCUACCCUUGGUUAGCUUAUCUUUAAAAUGAGGAUAAAUAACAAGCAACUGCUGUGGUAAGGGAGGAUAAAUAGGUAGACUGAGUGGAUUGAUGAUACGUAGAAAAUAAUUUAUACAUAGCAAUCAUUAACAGUGGCCGCUAUUAAUAUUUAUAAUAGUAAUAAUGGAUCACAAAAUAUGAAUUGACUUGUACCACACUUUUUUAAGGUAAAGCAUGUUCUAACUAGGAAAAUACAAAGAAAAAAAUAAAUAAACCACACUCAGUCCUGCCCCAAGUUCACCUUACUGGGCCGGUGCUUCCUCUUUGUGGAAGGGCUGACUUUUCCCCAUCAUUUUAACAACCUCUUCUCCCUUAAAAACAGUUGAACUUCACAUCAUAUGCAUUUCCAUGUCUUCAGAGAAAGUCUUAUAAGC
RNAcentral lists this long non-coding RNA (1113 nucleotides) under Fukomys damarensis (Damara mole-rat). Its description in RNAcentral is "lncRNA (ENSFDAG00000029000.1)". The record is from RNAcentral. Lineage: Eukaryota; Metazoa; Chordata; Mammalia; Rodentia; Bathyergidae.